UCCAAUGCAAGCAGAUACCACACAGCACUCU
RNAcentral lists this non-coding RNA (31 nucleotides) under Mus musculus (house mouse). The record is from RNAcentral. Lineage: Eukaryota; Metazoa; Chordata; Mammalia; Rodentia; Muridae.